UUCGGAAUAGAGAAUUAAAUUAAAAAGAAUGGAAAAUUAAAGAAAGAAAAAAAAAGGAAAAGGACUUCUUACAUCAUUAAGGUUACCUCAACAUGACAUCAUAAUUCAAUUUUUAAUUAAUGAAAAUUUUGACUAAGUCAAUACUAAAAACAAAUUGACAUAAAAAUAACUAAAUUGAAAAAAAAAAUAGAUUUGUCUUCCCCAAGAGCUGGCCAAACCUCUCACCAUUUCCAUCUCCAUAGCUUUCCACCGUUAACAAGUUUUUUAACCUUGAAUAACUUGGUUUUGUCCUAUAAAUUCUAACCCUAAAUCCUCAAAAACUUCUAAUUUACCAUAGACAAGAGGAUUGAAGAUCAAGGACAAGAAGAAAAGAAGGAGAAAUUGAAGAGAGAAAAUACCACAUAAGAGGUUAGUGUUAUAAUCCUUUCUUUCUUAGUUAAAGACAUGUUAGGUAGUGAAAUAAACUUAGGAAUUGACAAAUAAUUGAAACAAAUCAAGUGUGUGGGAUUUAUAGUGGAUUUCGGCCAACUCUUAGAGAUUAGGGUUUGAGUGGAAUUGAUGCAAUUGAAGGGUUAAUGAAGUUGAAUUAAGUGUAUAGAUGUUGAUUAUGUACUUUAAUUUCAUUAAUUGAAUGAAUUGUGUAAAUUAGGGUUCUUGACACUUAAGGUUUAGGAAAAAUUUAGAGAAAAUAUAGUUGAUGUAAUGGAACAUAAUUAACGUUUGAAAUGGUCAUUUGGAGUCAUUUGGCAUGUAUUUGAAUGAGUGAAACUGAAGUGCAAUUCGGAUUAGUGAA
Molecule: unclassified non-coding RNA, 793 nt
Filed under: Hevea brasiliensis (rubber tree)
Lineage: Eukaryota; Viridiplantae; Streptophyta; Magnoliopsida; Malpighiales; Euphorbiaceae
Source: RNAcentral